CCUACGGGAGGCUGCAGUAGGGAAUCUUCCACAAUGGGCGAAAGCCUGAUGGAGCAACGCCGCGUGGGUGAAGAAGGUCUUCGGAUCGUAAAACCCUGUUGUUAGAGAAGAAAGUGCGUGAGAGUAACUGUUCACGUUUCGACGGUAUCUAACCAGAAAGCCACGGCUAACUACGUGCCAGCAGCCGCGGUAAUACGUAGGUGGCAAGCGUUAUCCGGAUUUAUUGGGCGUAAAGGGAACGAAGGCGGUCUUUUAAGUCUGAUGUGAAAGCCUUCGGCUUAACCGGAGUAGUGCAUUGGAAACGGGGAGACUUGAGUGCAGAAGAGGAGAGUGGAACUCCAUGUGUAGCGGUGAAAGGCGUAGAUAUAUGGAAGAACACCAGUGGCGAAAGCGGCUCUCUGGUCUGUAACUGACGCUGAGGUUCGAAAGCGUGGGUAGCAAACAGGAUUAGAUACCCGAGUAGUC
RNAcentral lists this ribosomal RNA (465 nucleotides) under uncultured bacterium. Its description in RNAcentral is "partial 16S ribosomal RNA". It matches the Rfam family "Bacterial small subunit ribosomal RNA", at positions 338 to 795 of the family's 1533-position model. The record is from RNAcentral.